AUGGCAGGUUCCGGAGUUGUUAGUUCUUGGGCUUCAUCGAUCAUGGGAGAUUUGCCAUCACCUAAGAAAAUACAACAACCGUCACAAGAGGAGCAACAACAUCAGAAUGCACAUGAGGUUAAUGUUUCCAUGCCACAAUUUACUGGUCGUUUUAGGCCUGAUUUAUAUAUUGAAUGGGAGUACGAAAUGAAUGCUAUAUUUGCUUCCUACACUUUUGAUGAGCAUGAAAAAUUUCAAGUUGCGGUUAAUACUUUUAGUAGCUUCACUUUAGUUUGGUGGAGUGAAUACUGUCGGUUAAACCAUGAUUAUAUACCUGCGGCUUGGGAUGGUUUAAAACAUGUCAUGAGAGAUAGAUUCAUCGAUGUUUAUUAUACUUAUGGCAUGAUUAAAAAAUUAGAACAUUUAAAACAAGGUAGUGACACUGUAACAAAAUAUUAUGACGAUUUACAAACUACCUUGUUGCACUCGUUUUUAGAAGAAAGUGAAGAAGAUUUUAUGGAUAGAUUUUGGGGAGGAUUAAACCAUGAUAUUCAGGAGAUACUAAUUCAUGAAGAGUGUUAUCCUAUGGACCAUUUGUUUCGUCUUGCUUGUAAAGCUGAAUAG
Molecule: ribosomal RNA, 603 nt
Filed under: Triticum aestivum (bread wheat)
Lineage: Eukaryota; Viridiplantae; Streptophyta; Magnoliopsida; Poales; Poaceae
Description: partial small subunit ribosomal RNA
Source: RNAcentral